CAAAAGUUUAUUUCUCGAAAUUUCUGGAGAUAACUCUUUUUCAAAGAUUUUCACAAGCAGAGAAGUUGACGACAUCCUUAAAAUAUGAUCCUGGAAAGCGCUUGAAUCCGUAUGGAAUAAUCGUUGAGAAUGUGGAUGUGGAGAAACCAUCAUUGACAGAUUGAACAGCUAAAGAAGUAGCAACAUAAAACAGAUAAGUUCUCUCAUCUACUGUCAGACUCUUACUUUUCUUUAAGUUCUAUGAAAUUCCAAAAAGAUCAAAGGCAGGCAUUAAUCUAAUAGUGUUCUGCCAGAAUCUUAUUUGGAGACAUUGUCCCGACUCCCUAUUGCGUGAGGCUUAGACCCAGAGGAAAUUUAAACCAUGACCCUUGGUUUGGUAGUGCACGUCUAUGCAAGAGAUGUUUGGGGGAUGGAAAGUAAAACACACGGCUUUUCAAAAACAACCGUCGGCUUAAAAAGGUCUUUUGACAAAGAUUGUGAUUGGAAUCUGUUUUCAUCGCAUUAGUAGUACCCACGGCUUGCCAAAAAAGGUCUUUAGUACCAACGGCUUAAAAAGAAAUCUUUAGACAGAGGCUUAAAAAAAAAGUCUGCUUACAAGAAAGUCUUUUGAAAGAAAAUGACUAUGUCUAAGGCUAUGACAUCGUUGGAAGGAUUCAUCAACACAAAGGAUCAGAUUUGGUUUUGAACUUGUUGAAUGGAAAUAACGAUCACAAGUCAUGAAAACUAAUUUUCCCGAGUCCCGUUGCGUGAAAUGACGAUCACAAGUUACUCAAAUGUGAUUGGAAAAUCUUGCUACCCACGGCUUUACUAAGGGGUUUUAGUACCAGCGGCUUAAAAAGAAGUCUUUAGACAGAGACUGUGAUUGAAAACGUCUUCAUCACAUUAGUACACACCGCUUGCACAAGAAAGUCUUUUGAUAAAGACUGUGACUGAAUAUGUUUUCAUCACGUUUGUACCCACGGCUUUCCAAAAAGGUCUUUAGACAAAGACCUUUAACUACCAACGGCUUUAAAAGUCUUUAGACAGAGGCUUAAAAAAAGUCUUUACCCACGGCUUGCAAGAAUGUCUUGACAAAGACUGUGAUGAAAAUGUAUUCAUUACAUUAGAGUACCCACGACUUAGAAAAGACCAAUGGCUUAAAAAAAAAAUUUAGACAAAGGCUACGAGAUCGUCCCAAUGGCUCUAAAACAGUAUUGGUUGGUAGUGCAUGUCUAAGCAAGAGACGUUUGGGGGGGAUGGUAAAGUGAAAUAUGCUUUAGUACCCACGGCUUUACAAAAACAACCAUC
Molecule: long non-coding RNA, 1287 nt
Organism: Brassica oleracea var. oleracea
Lineage: Eukaryota; Viridiplantae; Streptophyta; Magnoliopsida; Brassicales; Brassicaceae
Exons: 3
Source: RefSeq, a predicted model, not a curated record